GGGUUGUGAGGUUAAGCGACUAAGCGUACACGGUGGAUGCCCUGGCAGUCAGAGGCGAUGAAGGACGUGCUAAUCUGCGAUAAGCGUCGGUAAGGUGAUAUGAACCGUUAUAACCGGCGAUUUCCGAAUGGGGAAACCCAGUGUGUUUCGACACACUAUCAUUAACUGAAUCCAUAGGUUAAUGAGGCGAACCGGGGGAACUGAAACAUCUAAGUACCCCGAGGAAAAGAAAUCAACCGAGAUUCCCCCAGUAGCGGCGAGCGAACGGGGAGCAGCCCAGAGCCUGAAUCAGUGUGUGUGUUAGUGGAAGCGUCUGGAAAGGCGUGCGAUACAGGGUGACAGCCCCGUACACAAAAAUGCACAUAUUGUGAGCUCGAUGAGUAGGGCGGGACACGUGGUAUCCUGUCUGAAUAUGGGGGGACCAUCCUCCAAGGCUAAAUACUCCUGACUGACCGAUAGUGAACCAGUACCGUGAGGGAAAGGCGAAAAGAACCCCGGCGAGGGGAGUGAAAAAGAACCUGAAACCGUGUACGUACAAGCAGUGGGAGCACGCUUAGGCGUGUGACUGCGUACCUUUUGUAUAAUGGGUCAGCGACUUAUAUUCUGUAGCAAGGUUAACCGAAUAGGGGAGCCGAAGGGAAACCGAGUCUUAACUGGGCGUUAAGUUGCAGGGUAUAGACCCGAAACCCGGUGAUCUAGCCAUGGGCAGGUUGAAGGUUGGGUAACACUAACUGGAGGACCGAACCGACUAAUGUUGAAAAAUUAGCGGAUGACUUGUGGCUGGGGGUGAAAGGCCAAUCAAACCGGGAGAUAGCUGGUUCUCCCCGAAAGCUAUUUAGGUAGCGCCUCGUGAAUUCAUCUCCGGGGGUAGAGCACUGUUUCGGCAAGGGGGUCAUCCCGACUUACCAACCCGAUGCAAACUGCGAAUACCGGAGAAUGUUAUCACGGGAGACACACGGCGGGUGCUAACGUCCGUCGUGAAGAGGGAAACAACCCAGACCGCCAGCUAAGGUCCCAAAGUCAUGGUUAAGUGGGAAACGAUGUGGGAAGGCCCAGACAGCCAGGAUGUUGGCUUAGAAGCAGCCAUCAUUUAAAGAAAGCGUAAUAGCUCACUGGUCGAGUCGGCCUGCGCGGAAGAUGUAACGGGGCUAAACCAUGCACCGAAGCUGCGGCAGCGACGCUUAUGCGUUGUUGGGUAGGGGAGCGUUCUGUAAGCCUGCGAAGGUGUGCUGUGAGGCAUGCUGGAGGUAUCAGAAGUGCGAAUGCUGACAUAAGUAACGAUAAAGCGGGUGAAAAGCCCGCUCGCCGGAAGACCAAGGGUUCCUGUCCAACGUUAAUCGGGGCAGGGUGAGUCGACCCCUAAGGCGAGGCCGAAAGGCGUAGUCGAUGGGAAACAGGUUAAUAUUCCUGUACUUGGUGUUACUGCGAAGGGGGGACGGAGAAGGCUAUGUUGGCCGGGCGACGGUUGUCCCGGUUUAAGCGUGUAGGCUGGUUUUCCAGGCAAAUCCGGAAAAUCAAGGCUGAGGCGUGAUGACGAGGCACUACGGUGCUGAAGCAACAAAUGCCCUGCUUCCAGGAAAAGCCUCUAAGCAUCAGGUAACAUCAAAUCGUACCCCAAACCGACACAGGUGGUCAGGUAGAGAAUACCAAGGCGCUUGAGAGAACUCGGGUGAAGGAACUAGGCAAAAUGGUGCCGUAACUUCGGGAGAAGGCACGCUGAUAUGUAGGUGAAGUCCCUCGCGGAUGGAGCUGAAAUCAGUCGAAGAUACCAGCUGGCUGCAACUGUUUAUUAAAAACACAGCACUGUGCAAACACGAAAGUGGACGUAUACGGUGUGACGCCUGCCCGGUGCCGGAAGGUUAAUUGAUGGGGUCAGCGCAAGCGAAGCUCUUGAUCGAAGCCCCGGUAAACGGCGGCCGUAACUAUAACGGUCCUAAGGUAGCGAAAUUCCUUGUCGGGUAAGUUCCGACCUGCACGAAUGGCGUAAUGAUGGCCAGGCUGUCUCCACCCGAGACUCAGUGAAAUUGAACUCGCUGUGAAGAUGCAGUGUACCCGCGGCAAGACGGAAAGACCCCGUGAACCUUUACUAUAGCUUGACACUGAACAUUGAGCCUUGAUGUGUAGGAUAGGUGGGAGGCUUUGAAGUGUGGACGCCAGUCUGCAUGGAGCCGACCUUGAAAUACCACCCUUUAAUGUUUGAUGUUCUAACGUUGACCCGUAAUCCGGGUUGCGGACAGUGUCUGGUGGGUAGUUUGACUGGGGCGGUCUCCUCCUAAAGAGUAACGGAGGAGCACGAAGGUUGGCUAAUCCUGGUCGGACAUCAGGAGGUUAGUGCAAUGGCAUAAGCCAGCUUGACUGCGAGCGUGACGGCGCGAGCAGGUGCGAAAGCAGGUCAUAGUGAUCCGGUGGUUCUGAAUGGAAGGGCCAUCGCUCAACGGAUAAAAGGUACUCCGGGGAUAACAGGCUGAUACCGCCCAAGAGUUCAUAUCGACGGCGGUGUUUGGCACCUCGAUGUCGGCUCAUCACAUCCUGGGGCUGAAGUAGGUCCCAAGGGUAUGGCUGUUCGCCAUUUAAAGUGGUACGCGAGCUGGGUUUAGAACGUCGUGAGACAGUUCGGUCCCUAUCUGCCGUGGGCGCUGGAGAACUGAGGGGGGCUGCUCCUAGUACGAGAGGACCGGAGUGGACGCAUCACUGGUGUUCGGGUUGUCAUGCCAAUGGCACUGCCCGGUAGCUAAAUGCGGAAGAGAUAAGUGCUGAAAGCAUCUAAGCACGAAACUUGCCCCGAGAUGAGUUCUCCCUGACUCCUUGAGAGUCCUGAAGGAACGUUGAAGACGACGACGUUGAUAGGCCGGGUGUGUAAGCGCAGCGAUGCGUUGAGCUAACCGGUACUAAUGAACCGUGAGGCUUAACCUUACAACGCCGAAGCUGUU
This 2930-nucleotide ribosomal RNA is filed under the name Escherichia coli. RNAcentral's name for it is "23S ribosomal RNA". It matches the Rfam family "Bacterial large subunit ribosomal RNA". The record is from RNAcentral. Lineage: Bacteria; Pseudomonadati; Pseudomonadota; Gammaproteobacteria; Enterobacterales; Enterobacteriaceae.